Molecule: ribosomal RNA, 492 nt
Filed under: uncultured bacterium
Lineage: Bacteria
Description: partial 16S ribosomal RNA
Rfam family: Bacterial small subunit ribosomal RNA
Source: RNAcentral
AGUGAACGCUGGCGGUAGGCCUAACACAUGCAAGUCGAACGGCAGCACAGUAAGAGCUUGCUCUUACGGGUGGCGAGUGGCGGACGGGUGAGGAAUACAUCGGAAUCUACUUUUUCGUGGGGGAUAACGUAGGGAAACUUGCGCUAAUACCGCAUACGACCUACGGGUGAAAGCAGGGGAUCUUCGGACCUUGCGCGAUUGAAUGAGCCGAUGUCGGAUUAGCUAGUUGGCGGGGUAAAGGCCCACCAUGGCGACGAUCCGUAGCUGGUCUGAGAGGAUGAUCAGCCACACUGGAAGUGAGACAGGGUACAGACUCCUGCGGGAGGCAGCAGUGGGGAAUAUUGGACAAUGGGGGAGAGCCUGAUCCAGCCAUACCGCGUGGGUGAAGAAGGCCUUCGGGUUGUAAAGCCCUUUUGUUGGGAAAGAAAAGCAGCAGGUUAAUACGCCGCUGUUCUGACGGUACCCAAAGAAUAAGCACCGGCUAACUUCGUG